This 269-nucleotide ribosomal RNA is filed under the name uncultured Megasphaera sp. RNAcentral describes it as "partial 16S ribosomal RNA". It matches the Rfam family "Bacterial small subunit ribosomal RNA", at positions 267 to 525 of the family's 1533-position model. The record is from RNAcentral. Lineage: Bacteria; Bacillati; Bacillota; Negativicutes; Veillonellales; Veillonellaceae.
AACAAGGCGAUGAUCAGUAGCCGGUCUGAGAGGAUGAACGGCCACAUUGGGACUGAGACACGGCCCAGACUCCUACGGGAGGCAGCAGUGGGGAAUCUUCCGCAAUGGACGGAAGUCUGACGGAGCAACGCCGCGUGAGUGAAGAAGGUCUUUCGGAUUGUAAAAGCUCUGUUAUACGGGACGAAAAAGACGGAUGCCAACAGUAUCCGUCCGUGACGGUACCGUAAGAGAAAGCCACGGCUAACUACGUGCCAGCAGCCGCGGUAAAU